Molecule: ribosomal RNA, 325 nt
Filed under: uncultured eukaryote
Lineage: Eukaryota
Description: partial 18S ribosomal RNA
Rfam family: Eukaryotic small subunit ribosomal RNA
Source: RNAcentral
CCCUUAGAUGUUCUGGGCCGCACGCGCGCUACACUGAUGCAUUCAACGAGCUUAUCCUUGACCGACAGGUCCGGGUAAUCUUUGAAUCUGCAUCGUGACGGGGAUAGAUUAUUGCAAUUAUUAAUCUUCAACGAGGAAUGCCUAGUAGGCGCAAGUCAUCAGCUUGCGUCGAUUACGUCCCUGCCCUUUGUACACACCGCCCGUCGCUCCUACCGAUUGGGUGUGCUGGUGAAAUGUUCGGAUCGGCCGUUUGUCGCGGUUUCCGCGUCAUGUGGCUGAGAAGUUCAUUAAACCCUCCCACCUAGAGGAAGGAGAAGUCGUAACA